This 477-nucleotide ribosomal RNA is filed under the name uncultured bacterium. RNAcentral describes it as "partial 16S ribosomal RNA". It matches the Rfam family "Bacterial small subunit ribosomal RNA", at positions 29 to 507 of the family's 1533-position model. The record is from RNAcentral.
AUUGAACGCUGGCGGCAUGCCUUACACAUGCAAGUCGAACGGUAACAGGUUAAGCCGACGAGUGGCGAACGGGUGAGUAAUGUAUCGGAACGUGCCCAGUCGUGGGGGAUAACUGCUCGAAAGAGCAGCUAAUACCGCAUACGACCUGAGGGUGAAAGCGGGGGAUCGCAAGACCUCGCGCGAUUGGAGCGGCCGAUAUCAGAUUAGGUAGUUGGUGAGGUAAAGGCUCACCAAGCCGACGAGCGGUAGCUGGUCUGAGAGGACGACCAGCCACACUGGGACUGAGACACGGCCCAGACGCCUACGGGAGGCAGCAGUGGGGAAUGUUGGACAAUGGGCGCAAGCCUGAUCCAGCCAUGCCGCGUGCGGGAAGAAGGCCUUCGGGUUGUAAACCGCUUUUGUCAGGGAAGAAAAGGUUCUGGCUAAUACCUGGGACUCAUGACGGUACCUGAAGAAUAAGCACCGGCUAACUACGUG